UGGUUGUACACCAUUUUUGCAGCCACCGUGGACGCUGCGCCGACGGGCUUAGCGGAAGUCGAUAACGGUCUCGUACGAUGCGUGACGUCACCGAUUGGCCCGUGCGGGCCUCCGGCUGUUUCUCCUACACGCGCCAUGUAUCUGCUUCGUGCCACAUGGAUGACCAGUCGUCUACUUCGCCGAUUUCGCCGAAAGAUAUUCGCCGGCAGUAAACACGAAACCUGCAGAAAGCAGUACAGGACGAAUACCGGAGUCCAACAACCGUAAGCAGAUGCCCACAGAAGACCCGGGAGCCUACUUCAGGAAGCUCAAAUUUCCUGGCAUCUGAGGAAGACCUAGGAAUAAUCCCAGACAGCACGGCGGGCACUGGGAUUCGAAC
Ornithodoros turicata is the source of this 379-nucleotide long non-coding RNA. RefSeq lists it as uncharacterized. The record is from RefSeq and is a predicted model, not a curated record. Lineage: Eukaryota; Metazoa; Arthropoda; Arachnida; Ixodida; Argasidae. The transcript has 4 exons.